GUGAAUCACAAAUCUGUAAUAUCUGUGGUAUAGAAAACCCUGAAUAUUUUACAGCAGGUGAUUUGAAGGGAGCUUUUUGUUUUACUGGAUAAGAUAAGGAUGCUUCCAAGGCCAGGCUUUCCAGUGAUUUGUCCAAUGGCUGUGAAGAAAAGCCCUCCAAAAUAAGGCUUCCUGCUUCAUCGUGCACCUGCCUCCUUGAAAGAAAACAAGACAUCAGAUACUUAUUCAAAUAAUGCAAUAGCUGAUCAGCAGAGUAUCUACACAAUGUCUGCUGGAAUAAAAUCACCAAGUACUCUCAGGAUUGCUGUAUCUGCUCCUGGAAAUACAUUGCAAUAAACAACUGGG
This 345-nucleotide long non-coding RNA is filed under the name Struthio camelus australis. RNAcentral describes it as "lncRNA (ENSSCUG00000017859.1)". The record is from RNAcentral. Lineage: Eukaryota; Metazoa; Chordata; Aves; Struthioniformes; Struthionidae.